This is a long non-coding RNA of Anas platyrhynchos (mallard), 4640 nucleotides long. RefSeq lists it as uncharacterized. The record is from RefSeq and is a predicted model, not a curated record. Lineage: Eukaryota; Metazoa; Chordata; Aves; Anseriformes; Anatidae.
UGGGUGUGUGGCUUUGGGGUGUACACAGGGGGAGGCACUGCCUGGGCGCAUUCACAACAAAGCCCACCUCACUCCCCUGCUGGCUCAAGAAGAAAGAACCAUUAAGCUGGUGAAAAAUUGCUUUUAAUAUAUAUUUUUCAUUAGACGCGGUCCUUCUCUUUCUCUUGUUCCACAAGGAAUCAGUGGAGAAAGCCCCUGAGGGAAGUCCUCUCCUUCCCAUCGGAAUCAAAUUAAUGUAUCCCCAAACCACCAGAUUCCUAUCCCACCUCCCUGAGCCUUUAGAGAAACUUUUGUGGCUGCCACCGAGGAGCAAAUCGCUGGGAAGUGGCAUCACAUUCAGCCAUGGCAGGACACAGCUGCAGAUGCUCUGAUUGUUAACGAAGACAGCUCCCGUCCUAACAGGAAAGGGAGUGGGCUCAGCUCUUUUCUGCUCAGGAGGGAAUGAAAAGAGCCAAACAGCUCCGUGAGCUGCACCUUCCUGGGGCCAGAAGGUGCCCCCCAGCCAUCCAUGCUGCCAGGAGCAUCUCUGCAGCAGGGGGUCACUCAGGGGGUUGGGGUGAUACCACGCACCCAGAGAGCCCUGUGAGGUGGAAGGACAAGUCCGAGUGACCUUGCGUACAGGAGGUACCCAGCUUUCUAAUUGCCAAGCAGGCAGAGAGUGUCCUGGUCUCCCUCCUGAUGCCACAGCAGCCAGGAUGCCCAGAGCCCCCGGCACAGAGCAGGACCAGCCUUAAAGCUGAUGGGGACGGGGAUGAAUCCAGCCCCUGCUGGCACUGAGGGAGGGACAGGAGCAGCGAUCCAGGCUGGAGGCUGGGCAAACAGAGACACUGAUCACUGGAGAGUUUUACAGGGAUAAUAAAGCACAUCAUAAUAAAUGGCCAUGAAUAUUUCAUGGCAGGAGUAGCACUGAUAUGAUGUAUCAUAGAGGAGCAACGAGGUUUUUCAACAUUUGGAUGCAAAUGGAGAGCGUGCUCCAUAUUUUACAGGUUUCUCCCCAGACACGCUAUGUUUUCUGAAAAUCAGAUUGACUGGGCACUUUUGAUAUGAGAAACAACACCAGGGCUCUGAUUAGUUUGAAAACAACAGCAACAACAACAAAACCCAAGCAGUAUCAGAGGAUUGUCAGUGCUAGGGAUGAAAAAAUCAUGUAGAUGAAGCAGCUCAUGUCCCUAAACACCAGGGGACACCAGGUGGGAAUCACUGAAGGGAAAUCAGCUGCAGUGCUGCGUUUGGAGCAGCAUGUGGGAGCAGAAUACAUCCCUAUAACAUCCCUACAAACACCCCCUCCCUGUCGGGAUGCCGAAAUGGUGAAUGGUUGUGGCAUGGCACUGGUACCUGGGAGAGGAGGUGGAAGCCAGGAGCUAAGUCCUUUUUCCUCAUUUGCUCCUCACUGACAAAUACUGGGCUUCUUAGGAUCAGCCUGGGGCAGACGGUGAAGGAACCUCCUUCCUGGAGGGGACCAGCUGAGGUUUUGAGUUUCCCCCGAUCUCACAUACUGGCACCGUGCCUGCCCUCUGAACAGGUUCAUCCGCGGGGACCCCUGCUCCAGCUCCCCCUCGCCUUGCCGAUGGCACACACAGGGGUGCUGUGCCCAGGGACAGCCACCCAGCACCGGGGAGAGCCCCGCAGGAGGCAGCCCCGUGCUCUGGCACACGGCCAGAGGGAGCUGCGUUUCUUGGGGUUUGUUUCUUGCUCUGCCAGCAUAUGUUUCUGCAGGAGCACGAGCAUGUUUCAGGGCAAAUGCUUGCUAAUACAUAAUCCCUUGAUAGCCUAACAUCUCUAUACCAUCCCACACAGGAACACAACCACAGAUGAGCACAGGCAAGUGCUUGCAGCUGCCAAGGCUGAGGCUGUGCCUGCAUCCAGCAGCGCUGGGGAGGGCUGACAGCUCGCCGUUUCCUUCCCUUUGCUGACGCAUUCUGUGUAACAUCAGCCUGCUCCACAAGCACCUUUUGCGUGGUUGUCCCGGUGGAAGUCCUGCCUCCCUCCUUUUAAUGAAUAAGACCACCAGACCCUAACAAAAUGCAGUUGGGUAUUCACAAGCCUGCAUGUUGCCAAACCAGCUUCUAACAGUCUGCUACCCUCUCCUCCCUACAAUGUCUUCUUUUGGCACAGGUGGCAGUGUUAUGGCCUGGAAUGAGACAGGGCAAGAGGAAAGAAGCCUUUGCAAGUGCUUGGUAUGAUUUUGCCCUGGUGCUCAUUCCCCAAAAAGGUUGCUCUAUGUCCUUUCCCUCUUUGGUGUAUUGGUGGGCUUGGGUGCCUCAGGGCCGUGCUGCUGCCUUUCCAGGGGCUCAUUCCAGCUCCCCAAGCAGUGUUACCAAGGUCUCAUUUCACUCCUGGCCACUCAGCUCAGGACACAGCACCUGCACCAGCAGUUGUUUGCACCAACGUGCCAGCGAGCAAGCGGGCCACAGCCCCCAGCGAAGGGAAUCGGCAGGGCAAACCUCUGCUGGGGAGUUCAGCCAGAUGGCAUCUCAGCAGAGCCGGGCCCAUCAAACCGCAAGUACCUCUCCCAAAAACAAACAAAACAAAAAAGAAAAAAGAGAUUAAAUGCACUUGUUUUUAUAGUCUGAGAUUGCACGAUGCUGUGAGCUAAUUCUUCCCAAAUUGGGUGUUGUCAGCUGAUGAAAACUCUUCUGUAAAGGUGUUAAACUCACUGGCUGGAUCAGAAGUAUUUCUUCUUGGAGAGUGCUGAUGAGAUCGUGCCUCGAUCAGCCAAAAUGGGCCUGAUUUUAAUGUGCUUUACUACAAAGCAGUCAUUACAUUUCUCUUUAGGAUUCAAACGAACAUUUUCUCCAUAUUUCAGCUGUGCUGAACUGGCUUUGCAAAGACCCCUCCAGGCAUUUGCUCAGGAACUGGUGAAAUUACCCUGUCUAAUGGCCUCCAGAAGUGAAGGUACCCAAGCAGAAAGUGUGCCACGCAGGUCCCAGGAGCUGCGUGAAGCAAACGGCACGUUGCUUUCUGUGCCAGUCUCAAGGUAGCAGCUGAAGCAUAAACCGGGGAUGGAAAAAGACUUAAUACGCUCACACUCCUUCUUGUUUUGCUUUAGGGCUUUUUUUGUCCAUUUAUUUGCCAGUGCUCCUCCUGGAAAACGCGCGGAUGGGAGGAGAGUUUGUCCGUUUGUCCCAUCUGCUCUGCUCACACCUCGGGUCAGCAGGGCUGGGGCUGCUGGCAGCGAUUCCCAUGCUGAGUGACCCAGGGCCCCAGUGGGGAUGGGGCUGGCUGUGCAAGCAGGGGACCCGCUCCUGCCUCCUCUCUGACUGCAGGACUCCGCAGAAAAGUGCCUCGGGCUCUUGCCUGCUACAGCCAGCAGCGAGCUGGCAGCACGGCCAGGUAGGAUGAGUCCCAAUGAGCUGUUCUAGGCAGCAUUUCCUUCAUGUGGAAAGUGGUAGGGUUAGAUCUGCAGGGAUGGACCAUGCAAAUGCCUGGCUGGGCAAUGGGUGAUUUCUGGCUGGGGCUCUCCUCCUCCCAGGGCACUGCAGGGUGAAGAGCUCUCUCUGGGCUGAGCAACAUGCUCAGGUUUCCUUUGCAAAAGUGUAACAAGAAAGCCCGUUUCAGCCCCAAAAUAGCUAGCAAGCUCCAGGUAACAUUUUCUGCAAAAAUUGAAUCAAAUCAGACAGAAGAUUUCUUGAUUAAAUCUCCCCAAGUACAGAGUUAUAGUUAGGAGCUCAUGGGAGUACUUACAUGUUCUGGUUUGUCACUCAGAAAACAAUUGGGGAAGAGAAGGAGAGACGCUGCUAACUAGCAUCUUGUCACCAGCUGCAAGGCAGCUACAGAGAAGUCAGCACCGUAAAUAUGGGGAUUUGGAGUCGGUGUUGCCCCGUUCCCCUUCACAGGGCUUCUCGCAUUUCCCCCAGAGCAGGAACACAGGUCUGUACCAGGGCUGCGGCCCCUGGCUCUGCAGGGGCUUCUAGACCUGUUGAGAGUUUCAGCACGUUAAUUAUGAAUUGAGGAUGUUAAUUAUGAAUAUCUGUAGAUUUUCACUCAGAGGCUUCUUGACUUGAGGGCUCUGCCCUGGGAGGCGUGGGGUGCCGUGCUGCUUAACCCGGUGCUCCUGCAGUGACUGCCUGCCCAUGGCGAUAUGCCCAGGGGCUCAGAGGGUGAGAUGUCCCAUGCAGGGUGAGAAGAAGGUAGAGAAGCAGAAAGCUAUAUAGGAAGAAAUAGGGACAGUUUUUGGGGAGCACCCCCUCAGUAGAGGGAUGUGGGUGCCACUGUUUUUCGGAGGCUCUGCAGCCCCUCCCCUGGCAGAGGGCAGGGUGAUGGCGGGCAGAGGCAGUGUUCCUGGGAAGGAGGUGUGCAGUCUCACUGCUGAAGGCUUCUUAAUUUUUUUAAAUCAUGUUACCUGCCUAGAUUUGGCAAGUGCUAUCGUGCAUGUGAAAGGGGGAAGCACAAUAAAGCAUCAUCAGAACGAGGGCUGGCUGACUGGGAGCUCCAGCACCAGGCGUGUACAUCUUCUCCCUGCCUUGGUUUACUCAAGAAACUCUGACUUAUUGCGGACCUCUGAGAUUUGCUCUCCAUAUUUUUACAGUGAAUAGCUGUAAAAGCAGUCAUCUUUUUCACUUGUACUGUGUUAAGCACAAAUGAAGCACUUCCCUUCUAAAAGCAUUUUAAGAUGAAAUAAUUAAAAAGCAGGAAAACAA